UACGUAGGGGGCGAGCGUUAUCCGGAAUUACUGGGCGUAAAGCGCACGCAGGCGGUUCGCCAAGUUUGGAGUGACAGUUGUCGGCUCAACCGACAAAGGACUUCAAAAACUGGUGAACUUGAGGACGAGAGAGGAACAUGGAACUCCAGGUGUAGUAGUGAAAUGCGUAGAUAUCUGGAAGAACACCAAUGGCGAAGGCAAUGUUCUGGCUCGUUUCUGACGCUCAGGUGCGAAAGCCAGGGGAGCAAACGGG
Molecule: ribosomal RNA, 253 nt
Filed under: uncultured bacterium
Lineage: Bacteria
Description: partial 16S ribosomal RNA
Rfam family: Bacterial small subunit ribosomal RNA
Source: RNAcentral